UGAGUACGAGCUGCUACGGCAGCGAAGUGGGUGAUGUCAUGCUUCCAAGAAAAGCCCUAUACCCGUUAAGGCAUGAUGGCCUGUACCCGAAACCGACACAGGUGGGGUGGUAGAGAAUACCGAGGGGCGCGAGGUAACUCUCUCUAAGGAACUCGGCAAAAUGGCCCCGUAACUUCGGGAGAAGGGGUGCCACCGCAAGGUGGUCGCAGUGAAGAGGCCCAGGCGACUGUUUACCAAAAACACAGGUCUCCGCUAAGUCGCAAGACGAUGUAUGGGGGCUGACGCCUGCCCAGUGCCGGAAGGUUAAGGAAGCUGGUCAGCGUAAGCGAAGCUAGCGACUGAAGCCCCGGUGAACGGCGGCCGUAACAAUAACGGUCCUAAGGUAGCGAAAUUCCUUGUCGGGUAAGUUCCGACCCGCACGAAAGGCGUAACGAUCUGGGCGCUGUCUCGGAGAGAGGCUCGGCGAAAUAGAAUUGUCUGUGAAGAUGCGGACUACGUGCACCCGGACAGAAAGACCCUAUGAAGCUUUACUGUAGCUUGGUAUUGUGCUCGGGCUCGGAAUGCGCAGGAUAGGUGGGAGGCUAUGAACCAUUGCUUGUGGGUGAUGGUGAGCCACUGGUGAGAUACCACUCUUUCCGAGCUAGAGUUCUAACAGCCACCCGUUAUCCGGGGGCUGGACAGUAUCAGGUGGGCAGUUUGACUGGGGCGGUCGCCUCCUAAAAGGUAACGGAGGCGCGCAAAGGUUUGCUCAGGCUGGUUGGAAAUCAGCCGACGAGUGUAAAAGCAGAAGCAAGCUUGACUGUGAGACCUACAAGUCGAACAGGGAGGAAACUCGGCUUUAGUGAUCCGACGGUUCUGCGUGGAAGGGCCGUCGCUCAACGGAUAAAAGUUACUCUAGGAUAACAGGCUGAUCUCCCCCAAGAGUUCACAUCGACGGGGAGGUUUGGCACCUCGAUGUCGGCUCAUCGCAACCUGGGGCUGAAGUCGGUCCCAAGGGUUGGGCUGUUCGCCCAUUAAAGCGGUACGCGAGCUGGGUUCAGAACGUCGUGAGACAGUUCGGUCCAUAUCCGGUGCAUGCGCAGGAAUAUUGAGAGGAUUUCUCCCUAGUACGAGAGGACCGGGAGGAACGCACCUCUGGUGUACCAGUUAUCGUGCCAACGGUAAACGCUGGGUAGCCAUGUGCGGAGAGGAUAACCGCUGAAAGCAUCUAAGUGGGAAGCCCACCUCAAGAUGAGUAUUCCCAUGGGGUAACCCAGUAAGGUCACGGGAAGAACACCCGUUGAUAGGCUCUACGUGGAAGCGCAGUAAUGUGUGAAGCGGAGGAGUACUAAUAGACCGAGGGC
RNAcentral lists this ribosomal RNA (1343 nucleotides) under metagenome. RNAcentral describes it as "bacterial LSU rRNA". It matches the Rfam family "Bacterial large subunit ribosomal RNA", at positions 1564 to 2912 of the family's 2925-position model. The record is from RNAcentral.